CAGUUUGAGUUGUCCAUCUUUUUUUCUUGGGCGUGCUGCUGGAUAGAGGUGGAGCUCGCGUAGAGGUGCUAGGUCACGCGGCGGCGCCGGCCGGGGGCGGGGAGACGGCGCGCAGUGGUGGCGGCCGGUGGAGGGGAGGCGGCACGCGACGGGGGGAGGUGGCGGUAGUAGCCGGUGGCGGGGAGGCAGCACGAGGCGGGGUGGGGAAGCCGAAGUCACCUAGGCGUGGCGGCGGCGGGAAGGAGAGGUGGCAGUGGGCACGGACGGGCGCGAGUAGGUAGCGGCGCAAUUCCGAAGUCACUGGUGCCGCGGAGCCGACGCUGGGUCCGGACGAACCGGCGGCCUACCUACCUAUGGCCGGCUCGAGCAGGAACCGCGGGGCCGACGCUGGGUACCAACUAACCGGCGGCCGACCUUCCCCUGCAGAGGAGGACUGAUUCGAACUACACCCUGACUGUCGGACCACACACGCCGGACGCCUGCCGUUGCUGCGUAGAAGAGAAUAGCAGGAGUACGAGAGACGGGAAUUAAACAAUAGGAUAGAGAGACUAAUAACCGAUGUACGCGUCCACAAACUCCGUCCUGGCGUACUCGUCACUGAACGUAGGUCAUCCUCCUUCGUUCUUCGUCGUUGCUGAGACUCGAUCGACGAUCGUUACGUGGGGGAGGGGAGAGUAGAGCCCAUGUACCUAAAAGUUGCCGGUUUGAUGAGAGAACUAAGAAAGAAAUCGCAAAAUCAAAAGUGAUUGUUAGGUAUAAACCAUUUGGCACUUGAGACAAGUCCUCGUAGUCCGUUGUUGGACAAACUACAAUACGUAUGCUGCCUAACUCUAUGUCAUAUUAAAAGUACAGUUUGAGAAUGGAGACAAAUCUUUUAGUUAUACUUCUUUGUCCACAUAGACUACAUGCUAGACGUGAAUUCUUGUUCACAUGGUCAACAAGGUUCGACGGCCUGCUGGUUUCUCAGUCACUCUCAGUUGUUAGGUAAACUAAAGCACCCCUAAUAAGUCAUUUUACGCUAGAUGUGACUUCGGUUAGGCUAGGUCCACUUUGUCUCUGGCUCGCAAGUUUCAUCCUUUUGUCUGAGCCGCACCACCGGCGAGGGGUAAAGGGACGCAGCAGGUCUAAACAAGGCCGACCCACGGUGGGACCGCCGGUUCUCACACGAUAGGGUGCCUUCGUCCGGGGAGGAGACAUGAAAAUGUUGUAUAGGUCAAUACCAAGGUAACAAUAGCGUGUGGUUUGCAAGUUACUUAAAGAAGUUCUUUUACUUACCUAAUAAAACAACACACGAAGUUGGUCGUGCCAACCUUUUCUUUUCAGUACCUAUUUCGAACCAUUAAGGGUCACUUCUCAAAGACGAUUAGGUAGUCGAUUACGAUUAUAUCUGUCUAAGAUACAUCAGUCCUGAACCAUGAACCUGGAAGUAUUCUACCGCGUUCCCCUCGAUACCCCUAUCUAACUGUUGUUAUAAACGUUCGUCCUUUAAUUUCAUGUUUUUGAUGAAGCAUAGCGGAACCGAUAUUCUUGCGGACCUGAGGGAGUCGGCUUUGGGUACAAGUUAACGAAAGGUACGGACUGUAACAACAGCGGCAAAACGGCUAAAGCCGUCUUAGAGCAGCAAGCUGAAGCGGUCUUAAGACAGACGGACAAGAGGUGGGUACCAACGUUAGUGCUGCUCGUUGUUUACAUACGUGACUUAAUGACCUCAUUCCAUCACUUUAUGAAGAACGAACGCACUCACCUUAAAAGCUUGUCUCCUUCUUGUAUGUUGUCUCACAUACGUGAUGUCCUUACCGUGUUAUAAGAGUACCGUCUUACCCCUACCCCGUGAUACACUGGGUUGUUGACAAGAUGGUCGUCCCAACUACCGUAAGAUACCGUUAUGGUUCUUAGGUUUGUAGUAGGGGCUUCACUAGGCACCACGAGUCACUAUGUGAAGUUACCUUUGUACUUCGGCACCGAACUACAGCGAGAGUUGGUCAUGUCCCGAUAUACCUGAUUCGUACAUCUCUGAUCUUACCUUAAGAACUGUGACAUUGAAACGAAAGACUUCAUUAAAUUCUUUAGCAGGUUCUUAUUCAGUAGGCGGUUAUAUAACUAACACCCUUUUACUCACUUGAUAAUAAAAAUAGACAAUACCUACUUGUAUACACAUGAUAAACAUCGUUUGUAGAGAGGUUGACCUUCCUUUUAUAACCACAAACGAGGUACCGCUUCGUGAUUUCUCCGUACGUCUCUGUCUGUGUCCUGAACGGGAGGGAGGUACUUUGUUCAGGUGUUUUAAUGUUCAACUUUCACUCACCCUCAUACUACCUGACACAUAUCUGAACCAUAUCCUCAUCGAACGUAAAUUCAAACUUUGUUCCCUAAAGGGAUGGCGACAAGUUACUGUACAUGCAACACACCACAGGCUA
This 2417-nucleotide ribosomal RNA is filed under the name Triticum aestivum (bread wheat). RNAcentral describes it as "partial small subunit ribosomal RNA". The record is from RNAcentral. Lineage: Eukaryota; Viridiplantae; Streptophyta; Magnoliopsida; Poales; Poaceae.